CUACGGGUCGCAGCAGUGAGGAAUAUUGCACAAUGGAGGAAACUCUGAUGCAGCAACGCCGCGUGGAGGAUGACGCAUUUCGGUGUGUAAACUCCUUUUAUAUGUCAAGAAAAUGACGGUAGCAUAUGAAUAAGCACCGGCUAACUCCGUGCCAGCAGCCGCGGUAAUACGGAGGGUGCAAGCGUUACUCGGAAUCACUGGGCGUAAAGGACGCGUGGGCGGGAUAUCAAGUCAGGUGUGAAAUCCUACAGCUUAACUGUAGAACUGCACUUGAAACUGGUAACCUAGAGUAUGGGAGGGGGAGAUGGAAUUAGUGGUGUAGGGGUAAAAUCCGUAGAUAUCACUAGGAAUACCUAAAGCGAAGGCGAUCUCCUGGAACAUAACUGACGCUAAGGCGUGAAAGCGUAGGGAGCAAACAGGAUUAGAUACCCUGGUAGUC
Molecule: ribosomal RNA, 439 nt
Filed under: uncultured bacterium
Lineage: Bacteria
Description: partial 16S ribosomal RNA
Rfam family: Bacterial small subunit ribosomal RNA
Source: RNAcentral